RNAcentral lists this ribosomal RNA (495 nucleotides) under uncultured bacterium. RNAcentral's name for it is "partial 16S ribosomal RNA". It matches the Rfam family "Bacterial small subunit ribosomal RNA", at positions 28 to 507 of the family's 1533-position model. The record is from RNAcentral.
GACGAACGCUGGCGGCGUGCCUAAUACAUGCAAGUAGAACGCUGAAGGAGGAGCUUGCUUCUCUGGAUGAGUUGCGAACGGGUGAGUAACGCGUAGGUAACCUGCCUGGUAGCGGGGGAUAACUAUUGGAAACGAUAGCUAAUACCGCAUAAUAGCAGUUGUUGCAUGACAACUGUUUGAAAGGUGCAAUUGCACCACUACCAGAUGGACCUGCGUUGUAUUAGCUAGUUGGUGGGGUAACGGCUCACCAAGGCGACGAUACAUAGCCGACCUGAGAGGGUGAUCGGCCACACUGGGACUGAGACACGGCCCAGACUCCUACGGGAGGCAGCAGUAGGGAAUCUUCGGCAAUAGACGGAAGUCUGACCGAGCAACGCCGCGUGAGUGAAGAAGGUUUUCGGAUCGUAAAGCUCUGUUGUAAGAGAAGAACGAGUGUGAGAGUGGAAAGUUCACACUGUGACGGUAUCUUACCGGAAAGGGACGGCUAACUACGUG